This 558-nucleotide long non-coding RNA is filed under the name Pan troglodytes (chimpanzee). Its description in RNAcentral is "long non-coding RNA NONPTRT005398". The record is from RNAcentral. Lineage: Eukaryota; Metazoa; Chordata; Mammalia; Primates; Hominidae.
UUCCAGCUGACUUCACAGGACUGUUGGAUGGGUCAAGUAAGAGAGUGGCUGUAAAAUGUUUGUGAAGGAUAAAGGACUCACAGCCAUAAGGGAUUCUGCCCUUGUUUGCAUUUUUUUUUUUUUUUUUCUGAGAUGGAGUCUUGCUCUGUCGCCUAGGCUAGAGUACAGUGGCAUGAUCUUGACUCACUGCAACCUCCGUCUCCCAGGUUCAAGCGAUUCUCCUGCCUUAGCCUCUUGAGUAGCUGGGAUUACAGGCGUGCACCACCACGCCCAGCUAAUUUUUGUAUUUUUAGUAGAUAUGGGGUUUUACCAUGUUGGCCAGACUGGUCUCGAACUCCUGACCUCAAGUGACCCACCCUCCUCGGCCUCCCAAAGUGCUGGAAUUACAGGCAUGAGACACCAUGCCUGGCCCCUUGUUUGCUUUUAUUGGGAAAAGCAGGACCUAGGAACUUUGUUCUGUGUCCUGACGAUAUACAAGUCUGGACCAUUUGUAAGUCCCAACAUCCGGGCUCUGUACCACUGUCUUACUUGUAACUUUAUUCUGUUGGUUAUUGUUCU